AUUGAACGCUGGCGGCAGGCUUAACACAUGCAAGUCGAGCGGAUGAAGGGAGCUUGCUCCUGGAUUCAGCGGCGGACGGGUGAGUAAUGCCUAGGAAUCUGCCUGGUAGUGGGGGAUAAAGUCCUGAAACGGGCGAUAAUACCGCAUACGUCCUGAGGGAUAAAGUGGGCUAUAUUCGGAGCUCACGCUCUCAGAUUAGCCUUAGUCGGAUUAGGUAGUAGUUGGGCUCAAAGCCUACCAAGGCUACGAUCCGUAACUGGGCUGAGAGGAUGAACAGUCACACUGGAAGUGUGACACGGCCCAGAGUCCUACGGGAGGCACCAGUGGGGAAUAUUGGGCAAUGGGCGGAAGAUUGUUGCAGACGGGCCGAGUGUGUGAAGCAGGUCUUCUGAUUGUAAAGCACUUUAUGUUGGGAGGAAGGGUAGUAAGUUAUUACCUUGCUGUUUUGACGUUACCAACAGAAUAAGCACCGGCUAACUUCGUG
RNAcentral lists this ribosomal RNA (484 nucleotides) under uncultured bacterium. Its description in RNAcentral is "partial 16S ribosomal RNA". It matches the Rfam family "Bacterial small subunit ribosomal RNA", at positions 30 to 507 of the family's 1533-position model. The record is from RNAcentral.